AAACUUUCAACAACGGAUCUCUUGGCUCUGGCAUCGAUGAAGAACGCAGCGAAAUGCGAUAAGUAAUGUGAAUUGCAGAAUUCAGUGAACCAUCGAAUCUUUGAACGCACAUUGCGCCCGCCAGUAUUCUGGCGGGCAUGCCUGUUCGAGCGUCAUCAA
Molecule: ribosomal RNA, 159 nt
Filed under: Thelonectria veuillotiana
Lineage: Eukaryota; Fungi; Ascomycota; Sordariomycetes; Hypocreales; Nectriaceae
Description: 5.8S ribosomal RNA
Rfam family: 5.8S ribosomal RNA
About the family: 5.8S ribosomal RNA (5.8S rRNA) is a component of the large subunit of the eukaryotic ribosome. It is transcribed by RNA polymerase I as part of the 45S precursor that also contains 18S and 28S rRNA. Functionally, it is thought that 5.8S rRNA may be involved in ribosome translocation.
Source: RNAcentral